Molecule: ribosomal RNA, 1333 nt
Filed under: Clostridioides difficile
Lineage: Bacteria; Bacillati; Bacillota; Clostridia; Peptostreptococcales; Peptostreptococcaceae
Description: partial 23S ribosomal RNA
Rfam family: Bacterial large subunit ribosomal RNA
Source: RNAcentral
AGGUUCGUCCGCCCUGGGUUAGUCGGGACCUAAGCUGAGGCCGAAAGGCGUAGGUGAUGGACAACAGGUUGAUAUUCCUGUACUACCGAUAACCGUUUGAGAGAAGGGAUGACACAGUAGGAUAAGCUAAGCACACUGUUGGUUAUGUGUGCCCAAGCAUUGAGGCAGUCAAAGUAGGCAAAUCCGCUUUGAUAAUGCUGGGAUGUGAUGGGGAGCGAAAUUUAGUAGCGAAGUAGCUGAUUUCACACUGUCAAGAAAAGUCUCUAUCGAGGUUAAAGGUACCCGUACCGCAAACCGACACAGGUGGGUGAGGAGAGUAUCCUAAGGCCAGCGAGAGAACUGUUGUUAAGGAACUCGGCAAAAUGACCCCGUAACUUAGGGAUAAGGGGUGCCACCAUCAGGUGGCCGCAGAGAAUAGGCCCAAGCGACUGUUUACCAAAAACAUAGGUUUCUGCUAAGUCGCAAGACGAUGUAUAGGAGCUGACGCCUGCCCGGUGCUGGAAGGUUAAGGGGAUCUGUUAGAGUAAUCGAAGCAGUGAACUUAAGCCCCAGUAAACGGCGGCCGUAACUAUAACGGUCCUAAGGUAGCGAAAUUCCUUGUCGGGUAAGUUCCGACCCGCACGAAAGGCGUAACGAUUUGGGCACUGUCUCAACAACAGACUCGGUGAAAUUGUAAUUCCGGUGAAGAUGCCGGAUACCUGCGACAGGACGGAAAGACCCCAUGGAGCUUUACUGUAGCUUGACAUUGGGUCUUGGUACUACAUGUACAGGAUAGGUGGGAGGCUUUGAAACCAGGACGCCAGUUUUGGCGGAGCCAUCCUUGGGAUACCACCCUUGUAGUACUGGGACUCUAACCAUAGGCCAUGAAUCUGGUCUUGGGACACUGUCAGGUGGGCAGUUUGACUGGGGCGGUCGCCUCCCAAAAGGUAACGGAGGCGCUCAAAGGUUCUCUCAGUACGGUCGGAAAUCGUACGUAGAGUGUAAAGGCAAAAGAGAGCUUGAUUGCAAGACAUACAGGUCGAGCAAGGAUGAAAAUCGGACUUAGUGAUCCGGUGGUUCUGCGUGGAAGGGCCAUCGCUCAACGGAUAAAAGCUACCCUGGGGAUAACAGGCUUAUCUCCCCCAAGAGUCCACAUCGACGGGGAGGUUUGGCACCUCGAUGUCGGCUCAUCACAUCCUGGGGCUGUAGUAGGUCCCAAGGGUUGGGCUGUUCGCCCAUUAAAGUGGUACGCGAGCUGGGUUCAGAACGUCGUGAGACAGUUCGGUCCCUAUCCGUCGCAGGCGUAGGAAAUUUGAGAAGACCUGUCCUUAGUACGAGAGGACCGGGAUGGACG